RNAcentral lists this ribosomal RNA (442 nucleotides) under uncultured bacterium. RNAcentral describes it as "partial 16S ribosomal RNA". It matches the Rfam family "Bacterial small subunit ribosomal RNA", at positions 338 to 795 of the family's 1533-position model. The record is from RNAcentral.
CCUACGGGGAGCAGCAGUAGGGAAUCUUUCACAAUGGGCGAAAGCCUGAUGGAGUAACGCCGCGUGCAGGAUGAAGGCUUUCGGGUUGUAAACUGCUUUUAUAAGCGAGAAAUAUGAUGGUAACUUAUGAAUAAGCAUCGGCUAACUACGUGCCAGCAGCCGCGGUCAUACGUAGGAUCCGAGCAUUAUCCGGAGUGACUGGGUGUAAAGAGUUGCGUAGGUGGCAUAAGAAGUAGCUAGUGAAAUCUGGUGGCUCAACCAUUCAGACUAUUAGCUAAACUGUUAAGCUCGAGAGCGUUAGGGGUAACUGGAAUUUCUAGUGUAGGAGUGAAAUGCGUAGAUAUUAGGAGGAACACCAAUAGCGUAGGCAGGUUACUGGGACGGUUCUGACACUGAGGCACGAAAGCGUAGGGAGCAAACGGGAUUAGAUACCCUUGUAGUC